RNAcentral lists this ribosomal RNA (852 nucleotides) under Metarhizium viride. RNAcentral's name for it is "LSU rRNA". It matches the Rfam family "Eukaryotic large subunit ribosomal RNA", at positions 33 to 914 of the family's 3401-position model. The record is from RNAcentral. Lineage: Eukaryota; Fungi; Ascomycota; Sordariomycetes; Hypocreales; Clavicipitaceae.
AUUAAGCAUAUCAAUAAGCGGAGGAAAAGAAACCAACAGGGAUUGCCCCCAGUAACGGCGAGUGAAGCGGCAACAGCUCAAAUUUGAAAUCUGGCCCCCAGGGCCCGAGUUGUAAUUUGCAGAGGAUGCUUUUGGCGAGGUGCCUUCCGAGUUCCCUGGAACGGGACGCCACAGAGGGUGAGAGCCCCGUCUGGUCGGAUACCGAGCCUCUGUAAAGCUCCUUCGACGAGUCGAGUAGUUUGGGAAUGCUGCUCUAAAUGGGAGGUAUAUGUCUUCUAAAGCUAAAUACCGGCCAGAGACCGAUAGCGCACAAGUAGAGUGAUCGAAAGAUGAAAAGCACUUUGAAAAGAGGGUUAAAUAGUACGUGAAAUUGUUGAAAGGGAAGCGCUUAUGACCAGACUUGGGCCCGGUGAAUCAUCCAGCGUUCUCGCUGGUGCACUUUGCCGGGCUCAGGCCAGCAUCAGUUUGCCCCGGGGGAUAAAGGCUCUGGGAACGUGGCUCCUCCGGGAGUGUUAUAGCCCACUGCACAAUACCCUGGGGCGGACUGAGGUUCGCGCAUCUGCAAGGAUGCUGGCGUAAUGGUCAUCAGCGACCCGUCUUGAAACACGGACCAAGGAGUCGUCUUCGUAUGCGAGUGUUCGGGUGUCAAACCCCUACGCGUAAUGAAAGUGAACGCAGGUGAGAGCUUCGGCGCAUCAUCGACCGAUCCUGAUGUUCUCGGAUGGAUUUGAGUAAGAGCAUACGGGGCCGGACCCGAAAGAAGGUGAACUAUGCCUGUAUAGGGUGAAGCCAGAGGAAACUCUGGUGGAGGCUCGCAGCGGUUCUGACGUGCAAAUCGAUCGUCAAAUAUGG